This 253-nucleotide ribosomal RNA is filed under the name uncultured bacterium. RNAcentral's name for it is "partial 16S ribosomal RNA". It matches the Rfam family "Bacterial small subunit ribosomal RNA", at positions 524 to 776 of the family's 1533-position model. The record is from RNAcentral.
UACGGGGGGGGCAAGCGUUGUUCGGAAUUACUGGGCGUAAAGGGCUCGUAGGCGGCCAACUAAGUCAGACGUGAAAUCCCUCGGCUUAACCGGGGAACUGCAUCUGAUACUGGAUGGCUUGAGAUUGGGAGAGGGAUGCGGAAUUCCAGGUGUAGCGGUGAAAUGCGUAGAUAUCGGGAGGAACACCAAUGGCGAAGGCAGCUCGCUGGGACGGUACUGACGCUGAGACGCGAAAGCGUGGGGAGCAAACAGG